RNAcentral lists this ribosomal RNA (657 nucleotides) under uncultured Russula. Its description in RNAcentral is "eukaryotic LSU rRNA". It matches the Rfam family "Eukaryotic large subunit ribosomal RNA", at positions 1 to 632 of the family's 3401-position model. Lineage: Eukaryota; Fungi; Basidiomycota; Agaricomycetes; Russulales; Russulaceae. The record is from RNAcentral.
UUGACCUCAAAUCGGGUGAGACUACCCGCUGAACUUAAGCAUAUCAAUAAGCGGAGGAAAAGAAACUAACAAGGAUUCCCCUAGUAACUGCGAGUGAAGCGGGAAAAGCUCAAAUUUAAAAUCUGAUGGUCUUUGGCCGUCCGAGUUGUAAUUUAGAGAAGCGUCUUCCGCGCUGGACCGUGCACAAGUCUCCUGGAAUGGAGCAUCAUAGAGGGUGAGAAUCCCGUCUUUGGCACGGACACACCAGGGCUUUUGUGAUGGGCUCUCGAAGAGUCGAGUUGUUUGGGAAUGCAGCUCAAAAUGGGUGGUGAACUCCAUCUAAAGCUAAAUAUUGGCGAGAGACCGAUAGCGAACAAGUACCGUGAGGGAAAGAUGAAAAGCACUUUGGAAAGAGAGUGAAACAGUACGUGAAAUUGCUGAAAGGGAAACGCUUGAAGUCAGUCGCGUCGACCGAGACUCAGCCUUGCCUUGGCUUGGUGUACUUCUCGGCUGACGGGUCAGCAUCAAUUUUGCCCCUUGGAUAAUGGCGAGGGAAAUGUGACACCUUUGCGGUGUGUUAUAGUCUCUUGUCGCAUGCAAGGGUUGGGAUUGAGGAACUCAGCACGCGCCUUUGGGCGUCGGGGCUUUGCCCACGAUACGUGCUUAGGAUGUGGCGUA